This 429-nucleotide ribosomal RNA is filed under the name Chloroflexota bacterium. RNAcentral's name for it is "Chloroflexi bacterium partial 16S ribosomal RNA". It matches the Rfam family "Bacterial small subunit ribosomal RNA", at positions 355 to 776 of the family's 1533-position model. The record is from RNAcentral. Lineage: Bacteria; Bacillati; Chloroflexota.
UGGGGAAUAUUGCACAAUGGGCGCAAGCCUGAUGCAGCCAUGCCGCGUGUAUGAAGAAGGCCUUCGGGUUGUAAAGUACUUUCAGUCGGGAGGAAGGUGGUAAGGUUAAUAACCUUAUCAAUUGACGUUACCGACAGAAGAAGCACCGGCUAACUCCGUGCCAGCAGCCGCGGUAAUACGGAGGGUGCAAGCGUUAAUCGGAAUUACUGGGCGUAAAGCGCACGCAGGCGGUUGAUUGAGUCAGAUGUGAAAUCCCCGGGCUUAACCCGGGAAUUGCAUCUGAUACUGGUCAGCUAGAGUCUUGUAGAGGGGGGUAGAAGUCCAUGUGUAGCGGUGAAAUGCGUAGAGAUGUGGAGGAAUACCGGUGGCGAAGGCGGCCCCCUGGACAAAGACUGACGCUCAGGUGCGAAAGCGUGGGGAGCAAACAGG